UACGGGGGGAGCAAGCGUUGUUCGGAUUUACUGGGCGUAAAGGGCGCGUAGGCGGUUCGCUAAGUUGGAUGUGAAAACUCUGGGCUCAACCCAGAGCCUGCAUCCAAAACUGGCGGGCUAGAGUUCUGGAGGGGGUAGCGGAAUUCCUGGUGUAGCGGUGAAAUGCGUAGAUAUCAGGAGGAACACCGGUGGCGAAGGCGGCUACCUGGACAGAAACUGACGCUGAGGCGCGAAAGCUAGGGGAGCAAACAGG
Molecule: ribosomal RNA, 253 nt
Filed under: uncultured bacterium
Lineage: Bacteria
Description: partial 16S ribosomal RNA
Rfam family: Bacterial small subunit ribosomal RNA
Source: RNAcentral